This is a non-coding RNA of Pelagophyceae sp. CCMP2097, 72 nucleotides long. NCBI's taxonomy places the organism in Eukaryota, Pelagophyceae. The record is from the annotation of a GenBank genome assembly.
GCUCCGCUAGCUCAGUGGUAGAGCACCUCCCUAGUAAGGAGAAGGUCCACGGUUCGAUCCCGUGGCGGAGCU